RNAcentral lists this ribosomal RNA (1173 nucleotides) under uncultured Halomonas sp. Its description in RNAcentral is "bacterial SSU rRNA". It matches the Rfam family "Bacterial small subunit ribosomal RNA", at positions 209 to 1365 of the family's 1533-position model. The record is from RNAcentral. Lineage: Bacteria; Pseudomonadati; Pseudomonadota; Gammaproteobacteria; Oceanospirillales; Halomonadaceae.
CUUCGGCUCCCGCUAUCGGAUGAGCCUAUGUCGGAUUAGCUGGUUGGUGAGGUAAAGGCUCACCAAGGCGACGAUCCGUAGCUGGUCUGAGAGGAUGAUCAGCCACAUCGGGACUGAGACACGGCCCGAACUCCUACGGGAGGCAGCAGUGGGGAAUAUUGGACAAUGGGGGGAACCCUGAUCCAGCCAUGCCGCGUGUGUGAAGAAGGCCCUCGGGUUGUAAAGCACUUUCAGUGAGGAAGAACGCCUGGUGGUUAAUACCCAUCAGGAAAGACAUCACUCACAGAAGAAGCACCGGCUAACUCCGUGCCAGCAGCCGCGGUAAUACGGAGGGUGCGAGCGUUAAUCGGAAUUACUGGGCGUAAAGCGCGCGUAGGUGGCUUGAUAAGCCGGUUGUGAAAGCCCCGGGCUUAACCUGGGAACGGCAUCCGGAACUGUCAAGCUAGAGUGCAGGAGAGGAAGGUAGAAUUCCCGGUGUAGCGGUGAAAUGCGUAGAGAUCGGGAGNNGAANUACCANGUNGGCGAAGGCGGCCUUCUGGACUGACACUGACACUGAGGUGCGAAAGCGUGGGUAGCAAACAGGAUUAGAUACCCUGGUAGUCCACGCCGUAAACGAUGUCGACNCAGCCGUUGGGUGCCUAGCGCACUUUGUGGCGAAGUUAACGCGAUAAGUCGACCGCCUGGGGAGUACGGCCGCAAGGUUAAAACUCAAAUGAAUUGACGGGGGCCCGCACAAGCGGUGGAGCAUGUGGUUUAAUUCGAUGCAACGCGAAGAACCUUACCUACUCUUGACAUCCUGCGAACUUGUGAGAGAUCACUUGGUGCCUUCGGGAACGCAGAGACAGGUGCUGCAUGGCUGUCGUCAGCUCGUGUUGUGAAAUGUUGGGUUAAGUCCCGUAACGAGCGCAACCCUUGUCCUUAUUUGCCAGCGCGUAAUGGCGGGAACUCUAAGGAGACUGCCGGUGACAAACCGGAGGAAGGUGGGGACGACGUCAAGUCAUCAUGGCCCUUACGAGUAGGGCUACACACGUGCUACAAUGGUCGGUACAAAGGGUUGCCAACUCGCGAGAGUGAGCCAAUCCCGAAAAGCCGAUCUCAGUCCGGAUCGGAGUCUGCAACUCGACUCCGUGAAGUCGGAAUCGCUAGUAAUCGUGGAUCAGAAUGCCACGGUGA